This 253-nucleotide ribosomal RNA is filed under the name uncultured bacterium. RNAcentral's name for it is "partial 16S ribosomal RNA". It matches the Rfam family "Bacterial small subunit ribosomal RNA", at positions 524 to 776 of the family's 1533-position model. The record is from RNAcentral.
GACGUAGGGCGCGAGCGUUGUCCGGAUUUAUUGGGCGUAAAGAGCUCGUAGGCGGCUUGUCGCGUCGUGUGUGAAAUCUCAGGGCUCAACUCUGACAUUGCAUACGAUACGGGCAGGCUUGAGUUCGGUAGGGGAGACUGGAAUUCCUGGUGUAGCGGUGAAAUGCGCAGAUAUCAGGAGGAACACCGGUGGCGAAGGCGGGUCUCUGGGACGGUACUGACGCUGAGACGCGAAAGCGUGGGGAGCGAACAGG